RNAcentral lists this long non-coding RNA (289 nucleotides) under Elaeis guineensis (African oil palm). Its description in RNAcentral is "long non-coding RNA (EGUI_LNC008087)". Lineage: Eukaryota; Viridiplantae; Streptophyta; Magnoliopsida; Arecales; Arecaceae. The record is from RNAcentral.
AUGGGGUAGGAAAAGAUUGGAAUAAUUAAGAGGAGUUGGUGCAAUUCACAAGUGGUUGGGCAAAUCAUGUGGACCAUAUUUGUGCUACGUCGAUGAUGAAUAUAAUGGUGAAUAAUGUCAAAUGAUGGUCAUCCCUGUAGCUUUUAAAGAUUGGAAAUCAAGUGAGAACCAAUUGGAUUAAGCUAAAAUUUUCCAAUGAGGUUUGUUUUUGCUAUCAAGAGUACAUCCAUCCAUUUUGAUUAAUUGUAUGGCUAAAACACGUCUGGAUGGAUUGAGUGGAUAGCAUAUG